This 76-nucleotide transfer RNA is filed under the name Shigella sonnei. Its description in RNAcentral is "tRNA-Cys". It matches the Rfam family "tRNA". From Rfam's summary of the family: Transfer RNA (tRNA) molecules are approximately 80 nucleotides in length. Lineage: Bacteria; Pseudomonadati; Pseudomonadota; Gammaproteobacteria; Enterobacterales; Enterobacteriaceae. The record is from RNAcentral.
GAAUCCGUGGCAGAAAUGGAUAUGUGCCUGUCUGCAAAACAGGCUUAUAAGGGUUCGAGUCCCUUCGGAUUCUCCA